CUCCUUAAAUUUAUAAAAAUAUUUUAAAUUGUUUCACAAGGAAUUUUAUGAGCCAAACAAAUAAUCAAAGAUAGACUUUGUUAUUAUGUAGUUAGCCAUUAGUUGGAGAACUUGACAUGGAGAGAAGAAUAAUCUCAAUCAUGUCUAACAAACCUCCACGGGAGGCAUACACCUUUGAUAUGCUAAAACCUAAUAUAUAUAUGUCAGGGUUUGC
This 214-nucleotide long non-coding RNA is filed under the name Elaeis guineensis (African oil palm). Its description in RNAcentral is "long non-coding RNA (EGUI_LNC001645)". The record is from RNAcentral. Lineage: Eukaryota; Viridiplantae; Streptophyta; Magnoliopsida; Arecales; Arecaceae.